This 446-nucleotide ribosomal RNA is filed under the name uncultured bacterium. RNAcentral's name for it is "partial 16S ribosomal RNA". It matches the Rfam family "Bacterial small subunit ribosomal RNA", at positions 338 to 795 of the family's 1533-position model. The record is from RNAcentral.
CCUACGGGUGGCAGCAGUCGAGAAUCAUUCACAAUGGGGGAAACCCUGAUGGUGCGACGCCGCGUGGGGGAAUGAAGGUCUUCGGAUUGUAAACCCCUGUCAUGUGGGAGCAAAUUAAAAAGAUAGUACCACAAGAGGAAGAGACGGCUAACUCUGUGCCAGCAGCCGCGGUAAUACAGAGGUCUCAAGCGUUGUUCGGAAUCACUGGGCGUAAAGGGUGCGUAGGCUGUUUCGUAAGUCGUGUGUGAAAGGCGCGGGCUCAACCCGCGGACGGCACCUGAUACUGCGAGACUAGAGUAAUGGAGGGGGAACCGGAAUUCUCGGUGUAGCAGUGAAAUGCGUAGAUAUCGGGAGGAACACUAGUGGCGAAGGCGGGUUCCUGGACAUUAACUGACGCUGAGGCACGAAGGCCAGGGGAGCGAAAGGGAUUAGAUACCCUAGUAGUC